AUUGAACGCUGGCGGCAGGCUUAACACAUGCAAGUCGAGCGGGGGAAGGUAGCUUGCUACCGGACCUAGCGGCGGACGGGUGAGUAAUGCUUAGGAAUCUGCCUAUUAGUGGGGGACAACAUCUCGAAAGGGAUGUUAAUACCGCAUACGUCCUACGGGAGAAAGCAGGGGAUCACUUGUGACCUUGCGCUAAUAGAUGAGCCUAAGUCGGAUUAGCUAGUUGGUGGGGUAAAGGCCUACCAAGGCGACGAUCUGUAGCGGGUCUGAGAGGAUGAUCCGCCACACUGGGACUGAGACACGGCCCAGACUCCUACGGGAGGCAGCAGUGGGGAAUAUUGGACAAUGGGGAACCCUGAUCCAGCCAUGCCGCGUGUGUGAAGAAGGCCUUAUGGUUGUAAAGCACUUUAAGCGAGGAGGAGGCCACUUUAGUUAAUACCUAGAGAUAGUGGACGUUACUCGCAGAAUAAGCACCGGCUAACUCUGUGCCAGCCGCCGCGGUAA
This 501-nucleotide ribosomal RNA is filed under the name uncultured bacterium. RNAcentral's name for it is "partial 16S ribosomal RNA". It matches the Rfam family "Bacterial small subunit ribosomal RNA", at positions 30 to 523 of the family's 1533-position model. The record is from RNAcentral.